This 253-nucleotide ribosomal RNA is filed under the name uncultured bacterium. RNAcentral describes it as "partial 16S ribosomal RNA". It matches the Rfam family "Bacterial small subunit ribosomal RNA", at positions 524 to 776 of the family's 1533-position model. The record is from RNAcentral.
UACGUAGGGACCGAGCGUUGUCCGGAAUCAUUGGGCGUAAAGGGCACGUAGGCGGACUCUUAAGUCGGAGGUGAAAUCCUGGAGCUCAACUCCAGAACUGCCUUCGAUACUGAGAGUCUCGAGUCCGGGAGAGGUGAGUGGAACUGCGAGUGUAGAGGUGAAAUUCGUAGAUAUUCGCAAGAACACCAGUGGCGAAGGCGGCUCACUGGCUCGGUACUGACGCUGAGGUGCGAAAGCGUGGGGAGCAAACAGG